AAUGAUAUAACUUAAUUAGGUAAAGUGAAUAAUUGCAAAUUAUUUUAUUUCAGUUCAAAUCUGAAUAUCAUU
This 72-nucleotide transfer RNA is filed under the name Plasmodium yoelii. RNAcentral describes it as "tRNA-Cys". It matches the Rfam family "tRNA". From Rfam's summary of the family: Transfer RNA (tRNA) molecules are approximately 80 nucleotides in length. Lineage: Eukaryota; Apicomplexa; Aconoidasida; Haemosporida; Plasmodiidae. The record is from RNAcentral.